RNAcentral lists this ribosomal RNA (448 nucleotides) under uncultured bacterium. Its description in RNAcentral is "bacterial SSU rRNA". It matches the Rfam family "Bacterial small subunit ribosomal RNA", at positions 32 to 461 of the family's 1533-position model. The record is from RNAcentral.
AAUCAACGCUGGCGGCGUGCCUCAGACAUGCAAGUCGAACGCGAAAUUUCCCUUCGGGGAGAAAGUAGAGUGGCGCACGGGUGAGUAACACGUAGGUAAUUUGCCUUUGGGUGGGGAAUAACUCAGGGAAACUUGAGCUAAUACCGCAUAAUGCAGCGGCUCGACAUCGAGACAGUUGUUAAAGCGGGGAUCGCAAGACCUCGCGCCUGAAGAGAAGCCUGCGGCAGAUUAGCUAGUUGGUAAGGUAAUGGCUUACCAAGGCGACGAUCUGUAACCGGCCUGAGAGGGCGGUCGGUCACACUGACACUGACAUACGGGUCAGACUCCUACGGGAGGCAGCAGUCGAGAAUUUUCUCAAUGGGCGCAAGCCUGAAGGAGCGACGCCGCGUGGGGGAUGAAGGGUUUCGANCCGUAAACCCCUNUCAUUUGUGAACAAUGGUUGCGAUUG